GACGAACGCUGGCGGCGUGCUUAACACAUGCAAGUCGAACGCUUAACCCGCUUCGGUGGGGGGUGAGUGGCGAACGGGUGAGUAACACGUUGGCAACCUGCCCCCGGCUCUGGGAUAACUCUAAGAAAUUGGGGCCAAUACCGGAUGUGACCGCGGGCCGCAUGGUGUGGUGGUGUAAAGGGUUUCCGGCUGGGGAUGGUCCCGGGGCCUAUCAGCUGGUUGUUGGGGUAGUGGCCUACCAAGGGAAGGACGGGUAGCCGGCAUUAGAAGGUGUCCGGCCACCAUGGGACUGCGAAACGGCGCAGAGUGCAAGGGGAGACAGCGGUGGAGAAUAUGGGGCAACGGGCGGAAGCCUGACGAGAAGACGCCGCGUGGGGGAUGAAGGCCUACGGGUUGGAAACGUCUUUCAGAAGGGACGAAGCGCAAGUGACGGUACCUGCAGAAGAAGCACCGGCCAACUACGUG
Molecule: ribosomal RNA, 465 nt
Filed under: uncultured bacterium
Lineage: Bacteria
Description: partial 16S ribosomal RNA
Rfam family: Bacterial small subunit ribosomal RNA
Source: RNAcentral